Molecule: ribosomal RNA, 254 nt
Filed under: uncultured bacterium
Lineage: Bacteria
Description: partial 16S ribosomal RNA
Rfam family: Bacterial small subunit ribosomal RNA
Source: RNAcentral
UACGUAGGGGGCGAGCGUUGUCCGGAGUUACUGGGCGUAAAGCGCACGCAGGCGGUCUGUGAAGUUUGGAGUGACAGUUGGUGGCUCAACCACCAAAGUGCUUUGAAAACUGACAGACUUGAGGGCUUCAGAGGGACACGGAAUUCCGGGUGGAGUGGUGAAAUGCUUAGAGAUUACAUGGAAUACCAAUUGCGAAGGCAGGUUACUACUAAUGGAUUGACGCUGAUGGACGAAAGCGUGGGUAGCGAACAGGA